CUGACAACAGUAUUCUAGCGAUUUAUGGCCUUUGUAUUUGAAAGUCAAGCGAAACUUUACUUGUGGGCAUAUUAAACGCCGGAAGUUUUAUUGGGUUGGGAUAAAACGCGAAACCGGAAUGCGGAUUGCGGAAGCGGAUUCCGGAAGCGGAUUCCGGAAGCGGAUUCCGGAAGCGGAUUCCGUAAAUGAGGAUAAAACGCGCGGAAUUGAAGCAGAAUAAGGACGAGAAGCAUAAUAGGGUAAAUUAAGUUUGAUCACAACAUAAACUUAAUGCCAC
Paramuricea clavata is the source of this 277-nucleotide non-coding RNA. The record is from the annotation of a GenBank genome assembly. NCBI's taxonomy places the organism in Eukaryota, Metazoa, Cnidaria, Anthozoa, Malacalcyonacea, Plexauridae.